CCCACUCUCUCUCUCACUUCGCUUUCUACUCCCAAAUCCCAAUUUCUCCUCUCACUAUAGCUGCUCCAUUAGGGUUCUUUCCCAAAUUGACAUAAUUUCAGAAUUACUUAGGUAGGGUUUAUUUCUUUUCUAUGUUCAUGAAAUGUCGCAAACAUCGAGCUCUUCUAACCGGCGUAUAAGAAAUUGUCGAUGUGGAAAUGUUGCGCUCCAUCUCACUUCGUGGACUCCUGAAAAUUCUGGGAGACGUUUCUUUAGGUGUUAUAAACCUAAUGUAAGUUAAUAUUUUCUUUUAAAUUUUCAGAUUUGUGUUUAUAGGAUUUUUUGGGUUUUUGAAUAAUAAUCAAAUUUAGAUGUUGUGUUGCAGCCAAGACCAUGCGGCUAUUGGGAUUGGGAUGAUGACGAAAUUCAUCCAAGAACCACUAUUGU
RNAcentral lists this long non-coding RNA (426 nucleotides) under Nicotiana tabacum (common tobacco). RNAcentral describes it as "long non-coding RNA (NTAB_LNC018362)". The record is from RNAcentral. Lineage: Eukaryota; Viridiplantae; Streptophyta; Magnoliopsida; Solanales; Solanaceae.